Molecule: ribosomal RNA, 1217 nt
Filed under: human gut metagenome
Description: bacterial SSU rRNA
Rfam family: Bacterial small subunit ribosomal RNA
Source: RNAcentral
AGAGUUUGAUCCUGGCUCAGGAUGAACGCUAGCUACAGGCUUAACACAUGCAAGUCGAGGGGCAUCAUGAGGUAGCAAUACCUUGAUGGCGACCGGCGCACGGGUGAGUAACGCGUAUGCAACCUGCCUGAUGACUCGGGGUAUAGCCCAUGGAAACGUGGAUUAACACCCCAUAGUACUUUUAUCCUGCAUGGGAUGUGAGUUAAAUGUUCAAGGUAUCGGAUGGGCAUGCGUCCUAUUAGUUAGUUGGCGGGGUAACAGCCCACCAAGACGAUGAUAGGUAGGGGUUCUGAGAGGAAGGUCCCCCACAUUGGAACUGAGACACGGUCCAAACUCCUACGGGAGGCAGCAGUGAGGAAUAUUGGUCAAUGGACGAGAGUCUGAACCAGCCAAGUCGCGUGAGGGAAGACUGCCCUAUGGGUUGUAAACCUCUUUUAUAAGGGAAGAAUAAGUUCUACGUGUAGAAUGAUGCCUGUACCUUAUGAAUAAGCAUCGGCUAACUCCGUGCCAGCAGCCGCGGUAAUACGGAGGAUGCGAGCGUUAUCCGGAUUUAUUGGGUUUAAAGGGUGCGUAGGCGGUUUAUUAAGUUAGUGGUUAAAUAUUUGAGCUAAACUCAAUUGUGCCAUUAAUACUGGUAAACUGGAGUACAGACGAGGUAGGCGGAAUAAGUUAAGUAGCGGUGAAAUGCAUAGAUAUAACUUAGAACUCCGAUAGCGAAGGCAGCUUACCAGACUGUAACUGACGCUGAUGCACGAGAGCGUGGGUAGCGAACAGGAUUAGAUACCCUGGUAGUCCACGCCGUAAACGAUGCUCACUGGUUCUGUGCGAUAUAUUGUACGGGAUUAAGCGAAAGUAUUAAGUGAGCCACCUGGGGAGUACGUCGGCAACGAUGAAACUCAAAGGAAUUGACGGGGGCCCGCACAAGCGGAGGAACAUGUGGUUUAAUUCGAUGAUACGCGAGGAACCUUACCUGGGUUUAAAUGGGAAAUGUCGUAUUUGGAAACAGAUAUUCUCUUCGGAGCGUUUUUCAAGGUGCUGCAUGGUUGUCGUCAGCUCGUGCCGUGAGGUGUCGGGUUAAGUCCCAUAACGAGCGCAACCCUUACCGUUAGUUGCUAGCAUGUAAUGCUGAGGACUCUAACGGGACUGCCACCGUAAGGUGAGAGGAAGGCGGGGAUGACGUCAAAUCAGCACGGCCCUUACGUCCGGGGCUACACACG